UAGGGAAUCUUCGGCAAUGGACGAAAGUCUGACCGAGCAACGCCGCGUGAGUGAUGAAGGUUUUCGGAUCGUAAAACUCUGUUGCCAGGGAAGAAAGAUGGGGAGAGUAACUGCUCUUCAAGUGACGGUACCUGAGAAGAAAGCCCCGGCUAACUACGUGCCAGCAGCCGCGGUAAUACGUAGGGGGCAAGCGUUGUCCGGAAUUAUUGGGCGUAAAGCGCGCGCAGGCGGUCAUUUAAGUCUGGUGUAUAAACCAAGGGCUCAACCUUUGGACGCAUUGGAAACUGGGCGACUGGAGUGUAGGAGAGGAAAGUGGAAUUCCACGUGUAGCGGUGAAAUGCGUAGAGAUGUGGAGGAACACCAGUGGCGAAGGCGACUUUCUGGCCUAUAACUGACGCUGAGGCGCGAAAACGUGGGGAGCAAACAGG
RNAcentral lists this ribosomal RNA (428 nucleotides) under uncultured bacterium. RNAcentral describes it as "bacterial SSU rRNA". It matches the Rfam family "Bacterial small subunit ribosomal RNA", at positions 355 to 776 of the family's 1533-position model. The record is from RNAcentral.